AUCCUUUGGUCCCUCGGAAUUUGAGGCUAGAGGUGUCAGAACACUUACCAAAGGAAUAAGUAAUCUGUGGUUGUCAAGCAUCCAUGGCGACAUUUCUUUCUGACUUUUCGAUUUCAGCUCUUCCUAUUAUAUCGAAGCAGAAUUCAGUAAGCGCUGGACUGUUAACCCGCUGACAGGGAAGAUUAUUUGGGUUUAGACCGUAGUGAGAUAGGUUAAAUUUUACCCUAUUGAUGAAUAUUACCGUAAUAGUAGUUGAAAUUAGUACGAUAUAAACAGUUGAUUUGGUUUUGCAGCUGUCUGAUCAGGCGUUGCCGCGGAGCUACCAUCC
This is a non-coding RNA of Lachancea fermentati, 328 nucleotides long. The record is from the annotation of a GenBank genome assembly. Lineage: Eukaryota; Fungi; Ascomycota; Saccharomycetes; Saccharomycetales; Saccharomycetaceae.